GGAGAGAUGGCCGAGUGGCUGAAGGCACUCGCCUGCUAAGCGAGUGGGUGGCUAAUACCGCCUCCCGGGUCCAAAUCCCGGUCUCUCCGCCA
Molecule: transfer RNA, 92 nt
Filed under: Coprothermobacter sp.
Lineage: Bacteria; Pseudomonadati; Coprothermobacterota; Coprothermobacteria; Coprothermobacterales; Coprothermobacteraceae
Also listed under: 9 other names
Description: tRNA-Ser
Rfam family: tRNA
About the family: Transfer RNA (tRNA) molecules are approximately 80 nucleotides in length. Their secondary structure includes four short double-helical elements and three loops (D, anti-codon, and T loops). Further hydrogen bonds mediate the characteristic L-shaped molecular structure. tRNAs have two regions of fundamental functional importance: the anti-codon, which is responsible for specific mRNA codon recognition, and the 3' end, to which the tRNAs corresponding amino acid is attached (by aminoacyl-tRNA synthetases). tRNAs cope with the degeneracy of the genetic code in two manners: having more than one tRNA (with a specific anti-codon) for a particular amino acid; and 'wobble' base-pairing, i.e. permitting non-standard base-pairing at the 3rd anti-codon position.
Source: RNAcentral